AUGACUCGAGAAAAGGUAGUACGCAACUUCAUUUAUAUUAUGCACUUGGCUAUUCUCAAGGAAUUGCAAGAUGAUGGGCUAUACACCUCACAUAGCCUGAGACCAUGUUAUGUGGUGUUUGGUCGGACAUGCGCAUUUGCAGCACCAUGGGGUACUCUUUGGCUGAAGUACAUAUUUUGUAUCUUCUUUGGACCUAAAUCAGACUGUUCAAGUGGUGUUUGCUCAGAACAUGCAGGUGGAGCACCAUGGGAUGCUCUUUGGCUGAGUUUAUUGCCGCCUGGUGGUGAUAGUCAACCCCCCUUGACACUAUCUUAUGGACAAAGAGCAAAACGAGUCUACAACUCCAUGAGGAAGAUGUUCACCCGCCGUGCAUCUAGCUACGCACCAGGAAAGUCGCUCACGCUAGGCAGUAGGCACACAGGAUCAGACAGUGUCCUCGCACAGUCCACGGCGCUCCAUCCCCCCAUCCACCUCCAGCUCCAAAAUCACCUGCUCCCCCGCAAGUCCUGCCGCGUCGACUACCACGCGUGGGCACCAGAUUCGGCAGAGGUCGCCCUCGUGGGCUUCGCAAAUCCCACCACCUCCGCAUCAGCUGCCGAGCGGGCGGACCAGCACGGGCUCCGUUGCUGCAGCGACGGCCAUGGCUGA
Molecule: ribosomal RNA, 648 nt
Filed under: Triticum aestivum (bread wheat)
Lineage: Eukaryota; Viridiplantae; Streptophyta; Magnoliopsida; Poales; Poaceae
Description: partial small subunit ribosomal RNA
Source: RNAcentral